AAAGAAAAUCAUGAAUUAAGAAUAUAAUGAUGACCAUGAAUUCAUUGCCAAAUGUCAGAAAAACUCACCUGGUUCACUGAUGUGCUUUAGGGAAGGAAACUGCCACCCUGACAUGAUCUGGUCUAUAUGUGACUGCAGACCCAUAGCAACAUGCUUGACUUUGAACUGUCCCCUGGGCAAUUAGGGAUGGACAAUAAACACUGCGUAGCUAGUGAUGUCCUCCUCCCAUUAACAAAUAAAUAAAAUUGGAUUCUACAUCUUCCGAUCCAAGAUCGUUUCUUGCUCUCAGACUAAUUUCUUCGCUUACAGUCACUUUCCCUCCUGCCUGUCUUUUUGGAAUGUCGUAUAGCCCUGCGCACUUAGCUCCAGUGUUGAUCUCCUUGUCACCAUGUCUUUGUAAUAGCUAUAAAAUCAUGCCCGUCAACCUAGAAAUGUGCUUUAAUUUGUUGAUUUUGUUCUGAAUACAAUGAGCACGCAAGCAAAGAGCCAUGAAUUUCGCUUUAUCACUUGAUUUCACCUCUUGACACUAUUUACAGCUGUUUUCUGUUUGUACAUGCUGUCUUUUCCAGUACCACGCUGAGUAUUGUUAUCCCGAUAGUUCUUUCGUAUCAGUCCGUGUGUAUUCCUGGGCGAAUGUGCUCGUGUGGUCUCAGGAGUUGCGGAGGUCACGGCUCUGGGACAGCCGUUUCAUCGCCCUAUGCUGCAGGAAAAAAGCAAUGAAAGUGCCGUUAAUUUUUUGCAUGGCGAGCUGCUGCAUACUAACCGGUCUCACACCAUUACCAACACCUUGCCCUUGUGAAGGCAGAUAUGGAUAAGGUUCUCAAAGCUGAUAGAAGAUUGAAACCACUCUAAUCCUGUGACGAUGAACCUGCCCCGGAAGAGAGAGCCCAGAGAAUUGCCAAAGCUGUCCGCAAACAGUCAAUAGAAGUGAAGGAAAAUUGGGAACAACUGAAAAUCCGUGCGAGCAACUGGCAGAAACAGGUGGAAAAGACGUUGGAGAAACUUCAAGAACUGCAGAAAGUUCUGGAUGAUCUUGAGGCUCAUGUGAUAACAGCUGAGGGGGUCCACACUGAUUGGCAACCUGUGAGUGACCUGCUUAUUGACUCAUUGCAGGAUCACUUUGAUAAAACCACAGGUAAGGACUAUCUUCAAAAUCUGAGAUUGGGUUUUGAAAGACAGCAGCCUUUGUUUUGGAGAGAUAAUGGGAACUGCAGAUGCUGGAGAAUGCGAGAUAACAACGUGUGGAGCUGGAUGAAGACAGCAGGCCAAGCAGCAUCUUAGGAGCACAAAAGCUGACGUUUCGGGCCAAGAACCACCUUCAGAAAAUGGGGAGGGGGUGCGGGUUCUGAAAUAAAUAGGGAGAGAGGGGGAGGCGGGUGGAAGAUGGAUGGAGGAGAAGAUAGGUGGAGAGGAGAGUAUGGGUACGGAGGCAGGGAGGGGAUAGGUCAGUCUGAGGAGGCCGGUCAGGUCAAGGGAGCGGUAUGAGGUGGGAGGGGGGAUGGGUGAGAGGAAGAAUAGGUUAGGGAGGCGGGGACGAGCUGGGCUGGUUUUGGGAUGCAGUGGCCGGACAGGAGAUUUGGAAGCUUGUGAAAUCCACGUUGAUAACAUUGGGCUGCAGGGUUCCCAAGCAGAAUAUGAGUUGCUGUUCCUGCAACCUUCGGGUGGCGUCAUUCUGGCACUGCAGGAGGCCCAGGUUGGACAUGUCCUCUCGGGAAUGGGAGGGGGAGUUGAAAUGGUUAGUGACUGGGAAGUGCAGUUGUUGAUUGCAAACUGAGCGUAGGUGUUCUGAAAAGCGGUCCCCAAGCCUCUGAAUCGUUUCCCCAAUGUAGAGGAAGCCACAACGGGGACAGCGGAUGUUUUGGAUAUUUCUUCAGCUUGAUUUUCAUUCAGAGUUGGUUGGAUUUUGCUGAAGCAAUAGACAUAACUCACUAUGACGUAGACAAUGUCAGAGUUAAUGUUUCGCGUCCUGUGACCCUUCCUCAGAUCUCACUCUUCACUGAUGCUGCCAGACCUGCUGAGCUUUUCCAGCAACUUCUGCUUUUGUUGUUGAUUUACAGUGCCCACAGUUUUUUUGUAUUUUACGACACAGACAAAACUUGAUCUCUGCAGGAAGCAUGAUGCUGCAUUCUCCAACUUCCCUGCCUUUUUGUAAUAUAAUAUUGUCUUUUUAGGACAGAAGUGGCUUUUUUUUUGUUUGUUUAAACUUCCGCACAUACUUUCUAUGCAGGUUAAAAGUCUACACCUUUUCAGUUCUCUGCUGCAUAAUGAAGACUUGGAACAAUUUUUUUUAUAAAGUAGAAAAUCAGUGUGGUUUGUUUUCCAAAAUGUGAUGUGUAAGUGCAACACUUAACAGUGUGUUCAUCAAACUGUUGUUUCCUUUGAUCUUUGUGUUGCAGAAAUUUCUAGAAUCAUUUCAUAUAUUUUUUUUGAUAUAUUUUAGCAGCUUUCCUGGAGCAAGUCUGUUUUCCUUCGGAUGAGACGACUUUCAGACAUACUCCCUUUAUUAUGAGAUUUAAUUACGGUAAAAUCUGGAGGAUUUUUAUUCACUGAGUCACAAAGGACUAUAUGUUUUAAGCAUUGGAAAAUGCAUUCUGUUCUGACUGUCAUGUUAUCUGGUGUUUGUACCAGGCUUUCCGAUUAAAUGCAAGUGAUUAAGGAUGCUAAUGAUGCCACAUGUUAUUACAAGAGGAAAUGAACAUACAAGUAAGGAUUUUAUGCCACAUUUAUGCAUAGCAUGGACCAUGCAGCAUGGAUGCAGUGACUGAGUGAAAUGGGAUGCAGUGACUGAGUGAAAUGGGAUGCAGUGCCUGAGUGAAAUGGGAUGCAGUGCC
Molecule: RNA transcript, 2831 nt
Organism: Stegostoma tigrinum
Lineage: Eukaryota; Metazoa; Chordata; Chondrichthyes; Orectolobiformes; Stegostomatidae
Gene name: utrophin-like
Exons: 4
Source: RefSeq, a predicted model, not a curated record